Falco peregrinus (peregrine falcon) is the source of this 974-nucleotide long non-coding RNA. RefSeq lists it as uncharacterized. The transcript is spliced from 2 exons. The record is from RefSeq and is a predicted model, not a curated record. Lineage: Eukaryota; Metazoa; Chordata; Aves; Falconiformes; Falconidae.
CAAGCAGAAGAGUAAGACAAGCACUCCAUGGCUGCAGGAGUAAAGCAAAUGCUCUGUGUACCCAGGACCGAGGCAGGUCCAGACCCAAAGCUGUGAUCAUUCUGCCACAGAAAGGAAAAAGGGGAACAAGGUGCAUGUUGUCGCUGCAACGUCAAAGAGUGCCAGGGCUGUACUUCGUACCCAUGACACGCACAGACUCGGGAUCCCAUGGGCAACCAUGGCUUCCGCCUCCUCUCUCCUGAAUUCCAGGUUCUCCCCACUUUCCUCUGCGCUGGGGGGAGCGGUACAGACACCACUGAGAGGGCAUCCUCUGGGAAUUCUGUAUUCAAUAUCAGCUUCCCAUCCAGUUUCAUUUAUCCCAGGUAUCUCUUGCCUCUGCCCUUCUUGGCUGCUGGGGCUGUGCCUCAGCCAGGCUGUUUGAAUACCCUGCCUCUUGGGGCUGGCAAGUGAAACAAGGGGCCUUAGGGAUGUGCCACACAAACCCAUCUCUUUUUUCAUGUUCUUAAGGUUACCAAAAAAAUCAAAGCAAGAGUACUGCUGUUUUUGAGACUCUCUGACCUCUCAGCUGCUGCAGCUCUGGGCUGUUUAGUCACAAGUCUUACUCUGAUUGACAAGAUGACAGCUUCCAUCUUCAAAGUGAUUUUGGUGUUUACCUUUCCUUCAAGGCCCCAGACAACUUAAUUUCUGUGCCUGCUGCUGCCUGUUCCUUCACCUCAGACCCCCUCAACUAUUCUACAACAUUGCUUAAACAUGCAGCAUUUAAGCUAAACUGGAAAAAGUGAGCCACAAGGAAAGGAAGCGGCUGACAUCCGCUGUGCCAAAGGUUCCUGGAUCCUAACCCCAUGUCUGGCCACUGCGCUCACAGCACCCCUGCCAUGACUAAGCAGGAGGGAAUGUCUGCGCAGGCAGAUGCGAACUCUGUUUUCUAAACCGCUGUUUAACCCAAACACUGAAAUAAACAGAUGGAAGGAAAA